This is a long non-coding RNA of Cynoglossus semilaevis (tongue sole), 3557 nucleotides long. RefSeq lists it as uncharacterized. Lineage: Eukaryota; Metazoa; Chordata; Actinopteri; Pleuronectiformes; Cynoglossidae. The transcript is spliced from 9 exons. The record is from RefSeq and is a predicted model, not a curated record.
UUAAUUUGCUUGCCUUACAUCCAGAACAUCGGUAGUUUGAUCCCUGGUGGUUACAAAUAGUCGUUCUCUGUGGAUAUUACAUGUUUUUUUGUGUUUUUUUUUUUCAAACUAUCAUUCCACAGACACCUAGGAUUAUGGGGAUUGACUCUAAAUUCACACUGGAUUCACACUAAACUGACCGUAGGUGUGAAUGGGAGCGUGAAUUGUUGUAUCUAUAUUUGGUCGUGUUAGAUGGGCUGCAGCUUCCCUCGCCCUCCAACCAUUCUUUAGAACAGUGGUUUCCAAAGUGGGGGGUGAAGCCCUGGUGGGGUCGUAGAGCUGCUGCAGGGAGGGCACAGCAUGUCAGACUUAAAUUUGACCACAGUGGUCCUAUCUGCUGAAGGGAUAAGAAUAAGAAUGAGACUAAUGUUGAGUUUAUUGUAGACCGAGAUUUUUUUUACCAAUUUAAAAAAACAAAACCUUUGUUUCCACAGAGAUCCUUCGUGUCUCUCCUCCACCUCUGGAAUGUCCGACUGCUCCGCUCACCUGUUACUCACUUUCUCCACCUGUUGUUGGGUGACUGAAGGAGCAGCCUGCUGGGACUUGAAACAACAAGGAGCAGCGAGGAUCAACCAACCAAGCAAGGCCGUAAAUUCUCUGCCAAAAGGAGGACAGUGAGGAGAUAAAGACCAAGAACUCCGAGGGGGGAGAAAUAAUGAAGAGGAAGAGAAACCACUUCUCCUCCGUUCCUCGACGCAGACGCAGACGUAGAACGGCUUCGUUAAGUGACUGCAGUGAUCAGUAAUGUAGGGGCCACACGGUGGAAAAAGCGUGAGAGAUCAACAGAUGAAGAACAGCUUUUUCUCCAAUUCCUCCAUCUACAUCAGCGUGGUGUUCAACUAAACAGGCUCAGCUAUAACACUGGAGUUUGACAGGUGACUCACCCCAAGAUGUAGCCCCGCCCUCAUGUGAUGACUGAUGGGAUUGGUUUGACGUUCCCCCUGUGACCAUAAAAAAAAAAGCGGCGUGUCAUUCUGUGCCUGUAUUGUCUCUUCUACAUCGACAUGAACAGUGAGCCACAAAAUGAAGAUUUACGCCAAAAACCAUUCACGCCAACGAUGAGUUUGUUCACCCGUAGAAAACGAGCUGUCACUUUGUGUGGACAUUGUCCCUUCAGUGUGUGUGGCUCAACGCGGCGUCUGAUGUCCACUCCUGGGCCACUUGUCUCUGAUGUGAAUGGGAAGACAAUGAGAUGGACCCCCAGGGGCUCUCCCUCUCUCCCUCUCUCUCUCUCUCUCUCUCUCCCUGACCCACCCGGGGUCUGAUCUGCCUUGGCAAAGGUGUAGGGGGGUCGGGGGGGUGGAGGCCCAACACAAAGCUGAAGGAGUCUCCGGUGCAGAGGAGCAGAGGUCAGCACCAACGCCCGACUAACAGGCCUGUCCUCUGGUUUGGACUCCUAAAUGGGGAAGAGACACAGAGGCGUAGAGACAAUGGGAUAAAAGGGAGCUCCAAAACCAUUAAACUCUGAGGAAGUGAUGGCCGUGAAUGAUGACAGACACUGAAUGGAGACCCUUGAGGCCUCUCUUCUCCAAACAAGGGGACAAACCCAGAUUGAUGCAGGAGCUGUGGUCGGAGCCGCGCGGGUCCCCGCUGUGCACCUCAACGCCGGGAGACAACGUGACACCACGGCCGGGGCCCCCUUUGGAGGGUUGACACCAGCCCCACCUGCUGAGCUGAAGCCAUAGGCGACAGUGUCGGGGUCAGAGGGCGUGAAGAGGUCACCGCGUCUUUUAUUGGGCCUUGAUGUCUCAAAAAAAAAGGUCUGUGGGGACGUGACGGACGUCCUUUCACUCGGACUCUCAUCACAUGACACGACCGUUUUCUUUUUCGUCCUCAACUUCAAAGAGGGGGGAUUUUCACGGACAGUUCAAGGUAACGUGUUUUUCCCUGCGUUCUCAUCCGGAGCCUGAGCCUGAGUCAUUUGACAAAGGCAAGAAUUACCUGCACCCUGGAAUACUCAGAUACUGGAAUACUUAAAUAUUGUUUGUUGUUUUGACGCCCCCCCCCUCUUUGACCCCCUCCUCCACUCUUUUGUUUUCUUCUAUGUUGUAAACAGAUUAACACAGUUUCCGUUUUUUAAAAACUUGCAGUAGAAGAAAAAAUGGACUUGACAAUCAUUUGGUAUUUAAACAUUUUUUUAAAGACGUAAAAGCGUAUGGCUGUGUCGUCAGUGUCGGAUUCAUUAAAGUUUAUAAAUGUAAAACACAGUUCAUUUGUUUUGGUCUCUAUUUUUAGCUACAAAGAAAAAAAAAUCUCAAAUUAAAUCUGGAUUUAAUUUAGAUACAAUUCAACUUUUCAACCUCAAAUAAAUAAAAACCUGUUCAAAUCUGAUGCCGAUCACGUCCGUUCAGUUUGUCGGAGAUAAACAUGUGCGACUAAAAGAACUAAUUAAGACCAUAUUAAGUUACCACUUUAAAUGAGUUGACAAGCUGAAUGACAGCCGUGAGUGCAGUCGAGUUGACGUGAAGACGUUAACGAGGCCGUGACGAGACAAAGGUCAGGUCUCACUAACGAAGACCAAACGCUGACUUGAGUCGUUUGUUGUUUGUUUUACUCUUUGUUGAAAACUUGUUUGAUUAAAUACACUUCUAUAGACGUCUGCUAACAUCGGCCGUCCGAUAUUAUCAGCCGAUGUUAGCAUAAUGUAACAUCGGUAAGAAUCGUUAAAAAAAAAAACAAAUCUCAGAGGAAUACUUGGCACCUCCUAAUGGCAGCCUGUUGCAGCCUGUUUUUUGUAUUUCCUUUUUUAAUGAAUACUCCAGCUGUGUCUCCCCCUGUUUAGAGAUAUGUGACAUGGAUUUUUAGGUUUGCGGUGACCGAGCUGCCCCGACCUUCGCUGCAGAAAUAGGCUGAGAUCUGCGGUGACGACAGCAGUGGAAUCCAGGUGAACCAAUCCUGGUUGUUACGUCAGAGGUGUUUACAGUGUGUCUGUAUUUAAGUCGGUUGUUGACACCGCACCGUGUCACGACCCCAAAGCAUACUGGAAAGUCGACACCUGUGAAAGUGAAAAUGAUGACACGGCCUGGAGGACAACAGGCAGGAGCAGCAGAGUGAACUCACGACGGAGGAAUUUAUCCACAUCACAUGCUCCAUUUGGUUCUUUGAGUUAUGUAGUAUCCUCAGAAAACGUCGAGAUACUUAAAUACUACAUCUGGACAACAGCAGCAGCAGCAGCAGCAGCAGCUAACGCCUGCUGUUUCUGGAGAUGAGCAGCGAGAGGCUCACCUUCAACACUGGAGACGGUUCCACCAGUAUGAACGUGAUUUACAUGUUGUCAGCUCCACCGAAAGGCCUGGUGACGUAAGAGGAUGGAAAUAAAGGUAAACUUCCUGUCUGGUUAUACACUGCAGUAAAAUAUCAACAAAAAUGUAAUUCAGCUGCAACUUAAUUAUGAAGUUAAGAAGUUAAGAAAUUUCGAUGAAACCUUUUGAUAAAGAAAACUUAAAAUGAAAUGGACAGAGCUAAGUAUUUUAAGGCAAAUGGGUGUAUUUUUAGUCAUUUUUGAGAAACUUUUUUUU